Molecule: non-coding RNA, 1345 nt
Organism: Paramuricea clavata
Lineage: Eukaryota; Metazoa; Cnidaria; Anthozoa; Malacalcyonacea; Plexauridae
Source: the annotation of a GenBank genome assembly
AUUCAACACUGAAUGUGAAUAACUGAAAUUGUAUAGACCGGAUUUCUUUAUAUCAACUUUCAUAACUGCUAUAUAACUACAGGAUUCCGCUACCUGCUGUUGUAGAUCUUUCGAGCUUUGUGUUGUUUAUACCUCGAAAUUUCACAACAAAACAUCUUUUUGACUGCUUCGGGAAAACCACCUGUUCCGGCUCGAUUCAUUAUCAUACAUAUCAUUUUGUUGUGGCCUCGUCCCCAGGUUUCAAAUCACGAGUGGCAAUAUUUAGAUGUGUUCUAAUUUAUUAUUUCCAGUGAAUGCUGCUGUUGGACGGGCGCUGCGAGACGUUAAUUACAUUUGCAAGGGAGAGUAUCGAAGAUUAUUGCAUGCGGCUAGAUUGCAUGCGCUCUAUCGACGACCGAUCGAGGGAUUUAUAUUACACUUAACACAUCAGAAAUUGUUCGCAAGAUUUUGAAACGCUUCCUUGUGGUCAACAAAAAAGAUGCGAAAAUUUUGCAGCAUAUUUAUAGUCGUAUUCAUCAGCGUCACUCGGGGUAAGUAAGUAAGUUAGGAGUAAACGAGUCGUCCGCGAAAACGUGACAAUAACAUUUUUAAAUUUCAUUGUUGCGUCAAUAUAAAACUCGAUAGGUUUGUGAAAUCAUAGGUCUAUAAAAUGUCGCAUCCUAAAUUUAAUCUGCUGUUAUAGAUCUCGCUGUACAGUAUAUAUUGUGAAUCCUGAGAUACGGAAAAUAAUUUUCAAUUACGAAUAAUGAUUUGUAAUCAAAAUUGAUCAACUAUCUUGCCCGUGGUCCCUUACUCCUAAGGCCAAGUCAAUAUAUUUUACUAUGUCCGAGUUUAUAUGAAUUUAUAUGAGGAGUUAUAUAUAACACUUGAAAUUGUCUGUCUUGAAAUCGGGCUGUCCUAUAUAAAAUAAUCUAAAAUUCCGUGAUUUAAACAGUUCUUGUUGUUUGUUCUAUAGUAUGCAGCGGAGAUUCAUUCGAACUAGAUUUCGUCACAUGGCCCAAUGAGACACAAGUUGUAGUGAAUGAAACCGUAAAAUUUCUGUGGAAGUACUAUGUUAAAAAUACGGACGUUGAUAUAAAAUGGGGAACCUCGAAGCACAUUUCGCCUAAAGUAUCCACGUUCGAUAAGAUAUUUUUCAGCGCCAUUGAGUAUGAGAAAUACAGAAAGCCACAAAGAUCGUCGGAAAUGCCAGAUAGGUAUCGUGGUCGGGUUCAGAUCGUCGGGCAAGCCAGUUUACAAAUCGUUAACGUUACUCUUGAAGACGAAGGGGAAUACCUGUGCGAAAUAAGCGAUACUGGAAAUGCUUGGAAAACUCUAUCGAGGGCUGCAAAGCUACAUGUGCUUG